AUUUAAGUAGUUUAUUAAAAAUAUUGAUUUGUGGUGUCAAUGAUAUGAAUUUUAUUCAUCUNAGAUC
This 67-nucleotide transfer RNA is filed under the name Ceratitis capitata (Mediterranean fruit fly). RNAcentral describes it as "tRNA-His". Lineage: Eukaryota; Metazoa; Arthropoda; Insecta; Diptera; Tephritidae. The record is from RNAcentral.